ACGCUCGACACCUACGGGGGCAGCAGUGAGGAAUAUUGGUCAAUGGGCGCUAGCCUGAACCAGCCAAGUAGCGUGAAGGAUGAAGGCUCUAUGGGUCGUAAACUUCUUUUAUAUAAGAAUAAAGUGCAGUAUGUAUACUGUUUUGUAUGUAUUAUAUGAAUAAGGAUCGGCUAACUCCGUGCCACCAGCCGCGGUAAUCUGAGCGGGCUGGCAAGGC
RNAcentral lists this ribosomal RNA (217 nucleotides) under uncultured bacterium. Its description in RNAcentral is "partial 16S ribosomal RNA". It matches the Rfam family "Bacterial small subunit ribosomal RNA", at positions 328 to 539 of the family's 1533-position model. The record is from RNAcentral.